RNAcentral lists this microRNA precursor (52 nucleotides) under Pteropus alecto (black flying fox). RNAcentral describes it as "mir-1302 microRNA precursor family". It matches the Rfam family "mir-1302 microRNA precursor family". Lineage: Eukaryota; Metazoa; Chordata; Mammalia; Chiroptera; Pteropodidae. The record is from Rfam by way of RNAcentral.
UACUUAGUAUAAAUAUGUCCCAUGCAAUAUUUGGGACAUGCUCAUACUAAAA